UACGUAGGGUGCAAGCGUUAAUCGGAAUUACUGGGCGUAAAGCGUGCGCAGGCGGUUUCGUAAGUCCGUCGUGAAAUCCCCGGGCUUAACCUGGGAAUGGCGAUGGAGACUGCGAGGCUAGAGUUUGGCAGAGGGGGGUAGAAUUCCACGUGUAGCAGUGAAAUGCGUAGAGAUGUGGAGGAACACCGAUGGCGAAGGCAGCCCCCUGGGUCAAGAUUGACGCUCAUGCACGAAAGCGUGGGGAGCAAACAGG
This 253-nucleotide ribosomal RNA is filed under the name uncultured bacterium. Its description in RNAcentral is "partial 16S ribosomal RNA". It matches the Rfam family "Bacterial small subunit ribosomal RNA", at positions 524 to 776 of the family's 1533-position model. The record is from RNAcentral.